GAUGAACGCUGGCGGCGUGCCUCAAACAUGCAAGUCGAGCGGGGCUAUGUAAUAUCGCAAGGUAGAACAUAGCCUAGCGGCGAACGGGUGAGUAACACGUGGGUAACCUGCCUGGAAGACAGGGAUAACGAUUCGAAAGGGUCGCUAAUACCUGAUAAUAUCCUUUCAUCGCAUGGUGAUAGGAAGAAAGGGGAAACCCGCUUUCAGAUGGGCCCGCGUCCCAUCAGCUAGUUGGUAAGGUAAAGGCUUACCAAGGCGACGACGGGUAGCCGGUCUGAGAGGAUGUACGGCCACACUGGGGACUGAGAUACGGCCCAGACUCCUACGGGAGGCAGCAGUUGGGAAUCUUAGGCAAUGGACGAAAGUCUGACCUAGCGACGCCGCGUGAGGGAAGAAGGCCUUCGGUUGUAACCGUCUGUCAUGGGGAGAAGUAAGUGACGGUACCCGAACGAGGAAGCCCUGCCUAACUACGUGCCAGCAGCCGCGGUAAGUACGUACUACUACUCGUAGUAGGCGGUC
RNAcentral lists this ribosomal RNA (519 nucleotides) under uncultured bacterium. RNAcentral describes it as "bacterial SSU rRNA". It matches the Rfam family "Bacterial small subunit ribosomal RNA", at positions 37 to 537 of the family's 1533-position model. The record is from RNAcentral.